Molecule: ribosomal RNA, 492 nt
Filed under: uncultured bacterium
Lineage: Bacteria
Description: partial 16S ribosomal RNA
Rfam family: Bacterial small subunit ribosomal RNA
Source: RNAcentral
AGUGAACGCUGGCGGCAGGCCUAACACAUGCAAGUCGAACGGAAGCACAGUAAGAGCGUGCCCUUACGGGUGGCGAGGGGCGGACGGGUGAGGAAUACAUCGGAAUCUAAUUAUUCGGGGGGGAUAACGGGGGGCAAGUUACGCUAAUACCGCAUACGACCAACGGGAGAAAGCAGUGGAUAAACGGAGCUUGCGCGACUGAAUGAGACGCUGCCGCAUUAGCUAGUUGGCGGGGUAAAGGCACACCAAGGCGACGAUCCGUAGCUGGUCUGAGAGGAUGAUCAGCCACACUGGAACUGAGACACGGUCCAGACUCCUACGGGAGGCAGCAGUAGGGAAUAUUGGGCAAUGGGCGCAAGCCUGACCCAGCAAUGCCGCGUGAGUGAAGAAGGUCUUCGGAUUGUAAAGCCCUUUUAUUAGGAAAGAACAACAGCAGAUUUAUCCCCCGCCGUUCUGACGGUACCCAAUGAAUAAGCACCGGCUAACUUCGUG